AUGUUGGCCGGGCGACGGUUGUCCCGGUUUAAGCGUGUAGGUGUGUGUUCCAGGUAAAUCCGGUUCACUUUAACACUGAGGCGUGAUGACGAGGCACUACGGUGCUGAAGCAACAAAUGCCCUGCUUCCAGGAAAAGCCUCUAAGCAUCAGGUAACAUCAAAUCGUACCCCAAACCGACACAGGUGGUCAGGUAGAGAAUACCAAGGCGCUUGAGAGAACUCGGGUGAAGGAACUAGGCAAAAUGGUGCCGUAACUUCGGGAGAAGGCACGCUGACACGUAGGUGAAGUGAUUUACUCAUGGAGCUGAAGUCAGUCGAAGAUACCAGCUGGCUGCAACUGUUUAUUAAAAACACAGCACUGUGCAAACACGAAAGUGGACGUAUACGGUGUGACGCCUGCCCGGUGCCGGAAGGUUAAUUGAUGGGGUCAGCGCAAGCGAAGCUCCUGAUCGAAGCCCCGGUAAACGGCGGCCGUAACUAUAACGGUCCUAAGGUAGCGAAAUUCCUUGUCGGGUAAGUUCCGACCUGCACGAAUGGCGUAAUGAUGGCCAGGCUGUCUCCACCCGAGACUCAGUGAAAUUGAACUCGCUGUGAAGAUGCAGUGUACCCGCGGCAAGACGGAAAGACCCCGUGAACCUUUACUAUAGCUUGACACUGAACAUUGAGCCUUGAUGUGUAGGAUAGGUGGGAGGCUUUGAAGUGUGGACGCCAGUCUGCAUGGAGCCGGCCUUGAAAUACCACCCUUUAAUGUUUGAUGUUCUAACGUGGACCCGUGAUCCGGGUUGCGGACAGUGUCUGGUGGGUAGUUUGACUGGGGCGGUCUCCUCCUAAAGAGUAACGGAGGAGCACGAAGGUUGGCUAAUCCUGGUCGGACAUCAGGAGGUUAGUGCAAUGGCAUAAGCCAGCUUGACUGCGAGCGUGACGGCGCGAGCAGGUGCGAAAGCAGGUCAUAGUGAUCCGGUGGUUCUGAAUGGAAGGGCCAUCGCUCAACGGAUAAAAGGUACUCCGGGGAUAACAGGCUGAUACCGCCCAAGAGUUCAUAUCGACGGCGGUGUUUGGCACCUCGAUGUCGGCUCAUCACAUCCUGGGGCUGAAGUAGGUCCCAAGGGUAUGGCUGUUCGCCAUUUAAAGUGGUACGCGAGCUGGGUUUAGAACGUCGUGAGACAGUUCGGUCCCUAUCUGCCGUGGGCGCUGGAGAACUGAGGGGGGCUGCUCCUAGUACGAGAGGACCGGAGUGGACGCAUCACUGGUGUUCGGGUUGUCAUGCCAAUGGCACUGCCCGGUAGCUAAAUGCGGAAGAGAUAAGUGCUGAAAGCAUCUAAGCACGAAACUUGCCCCGAGAUGAGUUCUCCCUGAGACUUUAGGUCUCCUGAAGGAACGUUGAAGACGACGACGUUGAUAGGCCGGGUGUGUAAGCGCAGCGAUGCGUUGAGCUAACCGGUACUAAUGAACCGUGAGGCUUAACCUUACA
This 1471-nucleotide ribosomal RNA is filed under the name Salmonella enterica. RNAcentral describes it as "partial 23S ribosomal RNA". It matches the Rfam family "Bacterial large subunit ribosomal RNA", at positions 1484 to 2925 of the family's 2925-position model. The record is from RNAcentral. Lineage: Bacteria; Pseudomonadati; Pseudomonadota; Gammaproteobacteria; Enterobacterales; Enterobacteriaceae.